Molecule: long non-coding RNA, 653 nt
Organism: Echinops telfairi (small Madagascar hedgehog)
Lineage: Eukaryota; Metazoa; Chordata; Mammalia; Afrosoricida; Tenrecidae
Exons: 2
Source: RefSeq, a predicted model, not a curated record
AGCCUCGUUUUCGCCCGCCUCCAGGAGCCCGGAAGACCUGGGACCCGCACCUGUGAAAGGGAUUUUAGUCCUGACCCGGGCGACGAGGUGAAGUUAGGAAGACAUCGCGUUCUGGCCACAACCAACCACCCCAGGCUUUCCCGCAAAAAUGCAGUCCCCAGGAUGCCUGGGCAGCGCCUCUUUCCUGGGGUGACUUCUUCGAGGAACUGCUGUUCCAGCAAAGGAUGCACCCACAGGAGCAGCGUGAGCCCAGAUGUGCCUCUGCUGAGUGUGUACAAGCAGGACUUCGUCUGACGCGCUUUCCACAGACCCUGCUCGGAGGCCCGCGACUCACAUUAAUUAGGCUUCCGUGCCCCUCCUUACGUAUAUGUUAACCAGAUUAUUCUUUUUCUGAUACCAUGGGCUUGGGGUGGAGUAGGGACGCGCUUGUAUGAGUUCGCCGCCCCGGAAGACUAUUACACGGCAGCACUUUCAGGGGGCAUAAUGCUUUUCACGGCGUUUGUCACCCAGCUCACAGGCUUAUAUGCCCGAAGCAAGUCCAAUGCGGUACAAAGAAUCCUGUUGUUUUUUUUCCUUAGUAAAAAGUUGCUUAACUGCGGAAACUAGAGCGUGGUAAACACAGUUCUUGACUCGUAUUAAAUGUUUAAAAACGA